AACCUGCGGAAGGAUCAUUACCGAGUGCGGGCCCCUCGGGGCCCAACCUCCCACCCGUGUUGCCCGAACCUAUGUUGCCUCGGCGGGCCCCGCGCCCGCCGACGGCCCCCCUGAACGCUGUCUGAAGUUGCAGUCUGAGACCUAUAACGAAAUUAGUUAAAACUUUCAACAACGGAUCUCUUGGUUCCGGCAUCGAUGAAGAACGCAGCGAAAUGCGAUAACUAAUGUGAAUUGCAGAAUUCAGUGAAUCAUCGAGUCUUUGAACGCACAUUGCGCCCUCUGGUAUUCCGGAGGGCAUGCCUGUCCGAGCGUCAUUGCUGCCCUCAAGCCCGGCUUGUGUGUUGGGCCCCGUCCCCCCCGCCGGGGGGACGGGCCCGAAAGGCAGCGGCGGCACCGCGUCCGGUCCUCGAGCGUAUGGGGCUUCGUCACCCGCUCUAGUAGGCCCGGCCGGCGCCAGCCGACCCCCAACCUUUAAUUAUCUCAGGUUGACCUCGGAUCAGGUAGGGAUACCCGCUGAACUUAA
RNAcentral lists this ribosomal RNA (523 nucleotides) under Penicillium sp. B35. Its description in RNAcentral is "eukaryotic LSU rRNA". The stretch from base 161 to 314 matches the Rfam family "5.8S ribosomal RNA". The record is from RNAcentral. Lineage: Eukaryota; Fungi; Ascomycota; Eurotiomycetes; Eurotiales; Aspergillaceae.